AUUUAAAUAAUUUAAAAAAAAAUAUUGAUUUGUGGUAUCAAAAAUAUGAAUAAAUUCAUUUUAAAUU
RNAcentral lists this transfer RNA (67 nucleotides) under Targalla apicifascia. RNAcentral's name for it is "tRNA-His". Lineage: Eukaryota; Metazoa; Arthropoda; Insecta; Lepidoptera; Euteliidae. The record is from RNAcentral.